Molecule: ribosomal RNA, 252 nt
Filed under: uncultured bacterium
Lineage: Bacteria
Description: partial 16S ribosomal RNA
Rfam family: Bacterial small subunit ribosomal RNA
Source: RNAcentral
UACGUAGGUGGCAAGCGUUGUCCGGAUUACUGGGUGUAAAGGGCGUGCAGCCGGAGAGACAAGUCAGAUGUGAAAUCCACGGGCUCAACUCGUGAACUGCAUUUGAAACUGUUUCCCUUGAGUGUCGGAGAGGUAAUCGGAAUUCCUUGUGUAGCGGUGAAAUGCGUAGAUAUAAGGAAGAACACCAGUGGCGAAGGCGGAUUACUGGACGAUAACUGACGGUGAGGCGCGAAAGCGUGGGGAGCAAACAGG